This is a long non-coding RNA of Rhinichthys klamathensis goyatoka, 514 nucleotides long. RefSeq lists it as uncharacterized. NCBI's taxonomy places the organism in Eukaryota, Metazoa, Chordata, Actinopteri, Cypriniformes, Leuciscidae. The record is from RefSeq and is a predicted model, not a curated record. The transcript is spliced from 2 exons.
UAGACUUGUGUUUUGUCACGACUCAAGCGUUAGGAAAGUUUUACUGAUUUUGAAUACAAGUUCAGUAUGCAGUCAGUAACGUUGCAACUGAGAUUAUUAGGGGGGAAAAUGAGGGACAAAAUUAUCCUCAUCCAGAGACAAAAGCUAAAACAGCAUGAAUAGUUUGUGCUACUUUUCAUAUUAUAAGAUACAGAUAAAACAAGUCAAAGAUAAUGCUUUUAUAAACUCAGUUAACCUUUAUUGUAAGUACAACAUCCAUUUUUAUAGAUACAAAAAGGCAUGUCAAUAGACUGCAAAAUGAUGUCUCUUCAGAUCAUCUUGGCUGCUAAAUGACACAAUGUUCUCUCUAAAGACUGUCAUAUAUUUUCCAAGAAUUUCAGCACUGCUUUAAAGCUUAAGCAAUCAAGAUGCUUGUUGCUCCAAUACAAAAGACUCACAUUUCAAAGUAUGUGAUUAUGUAAGGUUUUGUUUGAAAGAAAAACAAAAUUCAGUAAAAAAGCCGUUUUCUACCUUU